UAGAUAGGGCCAGAAUCAGGCUGAGGUAGGCCUACAGACCUCCCAGUCCCUCACAAUGAGAGACAUCCAGAUAAGAAGUGUGUGCUGGGAGACUGGACCUUCUCUCCUAGUGACUAGAAACAAGAGGCUUUCCAGGGCUGUGCAGAGAGCAUGGCCAGUACGGUCUCUGCCAUGGGCGAAGUAGAGGCUGGAGAGAAUUAGACCUUCCAAGACUUGUAAACAGCCCAAAAAAAUAGAGGAAGGAGCUUUGUGGGUGUCAGGAACUGAAAGGUGGAGAUGAUGUGGAAGAGGAAAUCUGUGUAUCAACAUACAGACUGCCUGCAGCUCUGCCUAAAUCAGCUUGCUUGCAAUGAAUAUGGUUGAUGGCCUGGUAGAGGAAAAUGUCCACUUUGCAGAACAUGAACAUCAUUUUCUGCCUAUAUAAAGGAGACAAAGACAGGCUUGAACUCAGGACUAAGGCUCAGUUAUCUUUGGGCCAAGUCAGGCACCCUGGUUGCCAUGUCAUGGGUCCUUAGCAUGGGCCCCAGGGAUCCCAGAGAGGCAAAAGAGAAUCCAAAGCCCAGACCCUUGACCAAAACCUUGUCCAGUCUCAACCAUUAAAUCCACCCUUAUAAAGGACUUUCAGACAUUUGCAGAGCCCACAGGUCUCUAUCCCAGGCCAUCUGGCAAAAGAACUUCUAGAGCUCUGACAACUGGAG
This 698-nucleotide long non-coding RNA is filed under the name Homo sapiens (human). RNAcentral describes it as "HSALNT0283161". The record is from RNAcentral. Lineage: Eukaryota; Metazoa; Chordata; Mammalia; Primates; Hominidae.